GACGAACGCUGGCGGCGUGCCUAAUACAUGCAAGUCGAGCGCAGGAAAUCGACGGAACCCUUCGGGGGGAAGUCGAUGGAAUGAGCGGCGGACGGGUGAGUAACACGUAAAGAACCUGCCCUCAGGUCUGGGAUAACCACGAGAAAUCGGGGCUAAUACCGGAUGGGUCAUCGGACCGCAUGGUCCGAGGAUGAAAGGCGCUUCGGCGUCGCCUGGGGAUGGCUUUGCGGUGCAUUAGCUAGUUGGUGGGGUAAUGGCCCACCAAGGCGACGAUGCAUAGCCGACCUGAGAGGGUGAUCGGCCACACUGGGACUGAGACCCGGCCCAGACUCCUACGGGAGGCAGCAGUAGGGAAUCUUCCACAAUGGACGAAAGUCUGAUGGAGCAACGCCGCGUGAACGAUGAAGGCCUUCGGGUCGUAAAGUUCUGUUGUAAGGGAAGAACAAGUGCCGCAGGCAAUGGCGGCACCUUGACGGUACCUUGCGAGAAAGCCACGGCUAACUACGUGCCAGCCGCCGCGGUAA
RNAcentral lists this ribosomal RNA (524 nucleotides) under uncultured bacterium. RNAcentral's name for it is "partial 16S ribosomal RNA". It matches the Rfam family "Bacterial small subunit ribosomal RNA", at positions 28 to 523 of the family's 1533-position model. The record is from RNAcentral.